Molecule: long non-coding RNA, 974 nt
Filed under: Olea europaea (common olive)
Lineage: Eukaryota; Viridiplantae; Streptophyta; Magnoliopsida; Lamiales; Oleaceae
Description: long non-coding RNA (OEUR_LNC012972)
Source: RNAcentral
AAAUCAAUCAUUCUCUCUCUCAUUUCUCUCUCUCUCUCUCUCCCCAAUUUUUCUUUUCUCCAGCGACUCACCACUCACUCCAACGGCACUGUGAUGAUGAAGCCAUCAUAGUGGAGUGAGUGUCACCUCUGACAGCAACUAUGUCUCUACGAGCAGAUCUGAACAGCGACAUCAAAGGCGUAGUGUUGCCUCGUGCAGCUGAGGCGGGGUGGAGUCCAGCACAGAGCGACUAGAUUUGAUUGUAGAGAUUAAGAUAGGGGUUGGUGAGAGCAGUGGUGGAGUCUGGCCGGCAAGGCUUAUCAAAUUUCAAUCACAGAUCUGAAUUUGUGGUGGUUUACAACGGUUUUAUGGUGGUCAGGAAAAGUAGUGGUGGAGUCUUGACGGUUAGGCUUAUUAGUUUCCAAUCACAAAUCUGAAUUUGUGGUUUUUUGCAACAAUUUUAUGGUUUUUGUGGCAGAUUUAUGGUAGCUUUUGAACCAGUUUGUGGUGGUUUUAUGGUGGUGGCGGUAAUAGUUGCAUGUUUAUAGAGUGUGUCAAAUUCUAUAUCGACAUCUAGUGGUGUAGUAGUAGUGAUAGGUCACAUGUUUUGGGUGUGUUUUAAAGUUGGUAGACGAGGACGGUGGUGGUGGUGUUGGUGUUCGUAGCGGUGGUGUUUGGAUGGCGAUAACUCUGUUGGAUCCAACGAUGGCGGAGGUAUGUUGGAUCUGGUGAUGGAUGUGGAUUUGCUGGUGGCGAUGGUUGUAGAUCUUGGUUGGUAGGGACGGUGGUGGUGGUGGUGGUGGUGCUUGAGACAAUGGUUUUGCUGCACGGACUGUAGAUGACUGUGGUUUGAUUGUGGAUUGAUGACGGUGGCCGUGUUGGUGGUGGUCACAAAUUAUUUGGUUGAUUGUGACCCUUAAAUUGGUUACUUUGUGACCAAUAAACAAUAUGUGACCAAUAGAAAAUAUAAAUUGUGAUAAAAAAUAAUGUGUGGC